Mauremys mutica (yellowpond turtle) is the source of this 2702-nucleotide long non-coding RNA. RefSeq lists it as uncharacterized. The record is from RefSeq and is a predicted model, not a curated record. Lineage: Eukaryota; Metazoa; Chordata; Testudines; Geoemydidae. The transcript has 2 exons.
AUAGUCAAUACUAGAAUCGAUCUUUUGACAAAAUUUAAUUUGAUUUUUUUUAAAGUUUCAGUAGAAAGAAAGUAAUGAAUGAUGGGAUUAGACACUUCUUUGAGCUGUUGUAAAUCAAAAAAUAGGAGUUGUGUAUGUUGGCAGUGGAGUAAGGGUGGAGACAAUGAGCCAGAUUCUGCUCUGAUUUAAACUACUGUAAAUCCAGAGAAACAUCCUGUGUUAAUGGAUUUUUCUUCAGAUUUACAAUGAGGUAGCUGCUAGCAGAAUUUCACCCCUACUGUACAUUUUAAAAGUGGCUAUUGAAUAUGUGCAUUUUCCACUUUGCAGAAGAAUUUUACUACAGCUAAACAAUACAGAUCUACAUCUUAAGAUGAAUGUUCUGAACAUACCGUAAUGGUGACAUAUGGUUGUAUGCAUAUUAAUAGUAUUGGAAGUAUAUUAUUCUUGGGAAAUAAACUAUAAUUGGCCCAAUGGCAUUUUAUAUUUAAAGCAGCCAAUAGUAUGUACUUUACUUUUGUAUUAACAGCAAGACCAUUGUGAGCUAAUCUUUCUUGUGAACUCUUAAAUACUUUCUUGAUACUUUUAUUCUUUUCUUUUUUAGGGCCUUAAUCUGCAAACACUUAUACACAUGCUUAGCUUUAUUCAUAUGAGUAUGGGAUGACUCACGUGAGUAAAGAUACUUCAGUAUUUGCAAGAUCAGGCCCUUAAACACUGCUUAAUAAAAGAACAAAAUUCCCUUAAUUUAAUAUUUAUGCUAGGACUGACUUUUCAAAACAGGGAUGCAAUCCAACUCUUCCCAGGCAAACUCUCACUGGGAGUUUUGUGCAAGUGAUAUCUGCAAGAUUGGCCUAAAUAGCACCUACUUAACUGUACAUACACCAAUUGUCCAUGCAAAAUUGUCUUUCCUUUGUGCAAAAGGGGUAAUUGUUUAUGUAAAUGAUUCAGACUUUGUGUGUAUGUGCGCAAGCGCGCCCAUGUGUGAGAGGUGCAGUUUAUGGGCCUGAUUUUCAGCAGUAGCUGAGUAGCCAUAUCCAUUGACAUUGAUGGAAGUUUUUUAUUCUAGAAAUCAGGCUCUAUUUGAGCAGGUUUGGACAAUAAUGUAGUAAAGUCUGAGAUUUAUCAAACAAGAAAUUCAGAGCUUCGUCUGAAAUUCCUUUCUUUCUCUCUGUUGUCCCAGGAGCACAGGGGUCUCCAAAUGGGAGGUAACUACUCAGCUCUAAUGCAGUAAAAUCACUCAUACUUCGGAGACUCAAGCUACCACAGCAAAAACAGGACAGAUGCCUGAGAUUAACCACCAACUGGAUUUAACACUAUUCAAACAUCUGUGCUUUAGGGUAUGCCGCAUUCUUCUGACAUCAAGAGAAGUGCAUUAAAUAUGUGGUCUUUGACAUAUUAGUGCUUAGUGGAGAAAAAAAAUCAAGGAACACUACGCUUUGCAAUAAUAAAGUACUAUUUUAGAAUGAAAUAUGUUGCUGCCGACUUGCGUGUUUAUAAAUAAGAGAAUGCUCCAGAGAAAUACCCAUCCAUCCUUCUGUUCAGUAUAUUUAAAAAGACACUGUCAAGGGAAUUUUCAUCAUUUGAAUAUUUUUUCUUGCUGUUUGUAAUCCCUUGGAAGCUUAACACUGAAAUUUGGCGUGCUCCAUUGUGUACAGAUAUUAAUCUGUUAUUGUAUAGUUGUUCCUAAGUGAGGGAAAGGGAGCCUUGAUUUAUUAUUUUAAAGCGUCAGUAUGUUUGUUUUCAAAAGCAAAAGGGUAAGAGUUUCAAAAGCACUCAGUAUUGGCCUAACUUGUCUCCCACUGAAGUCAAUAGUGAACACCCAUAGAUUGCAGUGGGAGUAGAGUUAAGUAAAUGCUGACUGCUUUCAGAAAUCCCACUGAAUAUGCAUAGGGUGAAACUCAACCUCACCCACUUCCCACAAAGGCCAAUUAAUCUUGUGUGGGAGAUUAAUGUGGAGAUGGACCCCAAAGCCCAUGGCAGAGUAGCUGCCACAACCCGAUCCCACAAGAAGGUUUUGCAUCACUUGAACCACAUAGUUAUGGAUUUUCUACUCCAUCUACAAGCCAUCUUCAUCCAUAUCAGCCUAUCUGGACCUGGUGCAAGGCCCCACUCCAUGGCAUUCACAGAGUGCAGAGGCUGCCCAGUAUGGGUAUUUAGAUGGUAGUCACUGAACAACCCCACCAGUGGAAUUAACUGGUGCCAGGGGGACAUUGCAGAGUUCAGUCUCACUCUUGAGAACUGCAUCAUCUUUGCAGGCAAUGAAUGAAAAAUAUUGGGCCUUCCAAUCCUGUUAAUGUCCCUUGAACUAACCAAAUUUUCUGAAAUGAAAAUAUGCUGCUAUUUAAGACUAAUACUUCAAAUAACUGAUUUCCACAAUAGUGCUGUCACCUAAAAAUCCCCCUCCUCUGAGCAUUAGCAACAGUUAUUUCUAUCUGCUGUACACUGUAUCUUUAGGUAUAUUUUAGGCUAUUUAUAUUUACGCUUUGUAUACAGACAGGAAUUAGGAAGAGGGUAAGUUUGGAUCAGAUACAAUGUGUGUGUACUGUGUUAGGAACAGAGUUGUGCAACAUUUUUCAGUGAAUAGUGAAUCCACCAAUAAACGUGUUUUGGGGACACUGAGAAUAUUUCAUGAUUUUUUUGUGUCAAACUCAGCAACUGAUUUUGGCUGGAAAAAAAACAAUUAAACUCAGAACUGUCAAAAUUAA